RNAcentral lists this ribosomal RNA (555 nucleotides) under uncultured bacterium. RNAcentral describes it as "partial 16S ribosomal RNA". It matches the Rfam family "Bacterial small subunit ribosomal RNA", at positions 355 to 896 of the family's 1533-position model. The record is from RNAcentral.
UAGGGAAUCUUCCACAAUGGACGCAAGUCUGAUGGAGCAACGCCGCGUGAGUGAAGAAGGUUUUCGGACCGUAAAGCUCUGUUGUUGGUGAAGAAGGAUAGAGGUAGUAACUGGCCUUUAUUUGACGGUAAUCAACCAGAAAGUCACGGCUAACUACGUGCCAGCAGCCGCGGUAAUACGUAGGUGGCAAGCGUUGUCCGGAUUUAUUGGGCGUAAAGCGAGCGCAGGCGGAAGAAUAAGUCUGAUGUGAAAGCCCUCGGCUUAACCGAGGAAUUGCAUCGGAAACUGUUUUUCUUGAGUGCAGAAAGAGGAGAGUAGAACUCCAUGUGUAGCGGUGGAAUGCGUAGAUAUAUGGAAGAAUACCAGUGGCGAAGGCGGCUCUCUGGUCUGCAACUGACGCUGAGGCUCGAAAAGCAUGGGUAGCGAACAGGAUUAGAUACCCUGGUAGUCCAUGCCGUAAAACGAUGAGUGCUAAGUGUUGGGAGGCUUCCGCCUCUCAGUGCUGCAGCUAACGCAUUAAGCACUCCGCCUGGGGGAGUACGACCGCAAAGGUUG